GGAGUUAGCCGGUGCUUCUUCUGUGAGUGAUGUCCUUCCUGCCGGCUAUUAACCCGCAGGCCUUCUUCCUCACUGAAAGUGCUUUACAACCCGAAGGCCUUCUUCACACACGCGGCAUGGCUGGAUCAGGGUUGCCCCCAUUGUCCAAUAUUCCCCACUGCUGCCUCCCGUAGGAGUCUGGGCCGUGUCUCAGUCCCAGUGUGGCUGAUCAUCCUCUCAGACCAGCUACGGAUCGUCGCCUUGGUGAGCCGUUACCUCACCAACCAGCUAAUCCGACAUAGGCUCAUCCGAUAGCGCGAGGCCCGAAGGUCCCCCGCUUUCCCCCGUAGGGCGUAUGCGGUAUUAGCCUGGGUUUCCCCCAGGUUAUCCCCCACUACCCGGGCAGAUUCCUAUGCAUUACUCACCCGUCCGCCGCUCGCCACCAGGGAGCAAGCUCCCCGUGCUGCCGCUCGACUUGCAUGUGUUAGGCCUGCCGCCAGCGUUCAAUCUGAGCCAUGAUCAAACUCUGA
This 509-nucleotide ribosomal RNA is filed under the name uncultured bacterium. RNAcentral describes it as "partial 16S ribosomal RNA". The record is from RNAcentral.